RNAcentral lists this long non-coding RNA (630 nucleotides) under Olea europaea subsp. europaea. Lineage: Eukaryota; Viridiplantae; Streptophyta; Magnoliopsida; Lamiales; Oleaceae. The record is from RNAcentral.
CAGAUUCUUUGAAAAAAAUUGAUUGAAAGAUUUAAUCAUCAGAAGACUAGUUUUUUCCAAAUCCCGCUAAGAGUGGAUGGACAUUCUGUUGCAAGAUUUUAAAACCGUUAGUGAGUACAAUUUUGAACAAUUUAGAAUAUAUUCAAAAUUAACUUUGUAUGGAAAUAAAUCACAGAUGAAGAUAUGUUGACUAAUAUUUUUUCACUUUUUAUAUCUCGAAUGUACUCCUGCAGCAAUAUCAUGAGCGUGAUUUCAAAAAGUACUUAGAACUCAUAUUUUUCAUACUUCUUGUAGUUGAACAAUAUAAUGAACUAUAGAUGAAAAAUCAAAUGUUAAUCCAACCAUAUCUAUACUAUUACCUGAAGCAAAAGAUACUGCAUUGUCUGAAGUAAAUAUGAUAUAAGAACAAGGAUAUAGACAUGGACGUGAACAUGGAUAUAGAGAUGGACGUAAACGUAGAUUUGGACGUGGACGAGGACGUGAAUAUGUAUGUGGAAUAAACUACGGAUGAAACAAUCAACAAAACUAUCAUUAACAAGUAAAUAAUUUCAAAAGGCACAAAACAAUGAAAGUAACAUAUCCAAAAAAGAACACAAAUAAUGUUACUUUAAAUGUAGAAUGAAAGGGCAU